RNAcentral lists this long non-coding RNA (392 nucleotides) under Brassica napus (rape). RNAcentral describes it as "long non-coding RNA (BNAP_LNC020985)". Lineage: Eukaryota; Viridiplantae; Streptophyta; Magnoliopsida; Brassicales; Brassicaceae. The record is from RNAcentral.
UGACGUCGUCGGUUGGUUUCUCCGCCAUGGUUAGGAGGAGGAGGAGGCUGGUGACGCAAACAGAAAACCCUAACGGAACAGAGUGUCGGUUGUUGUCUGAUUUUGAAAAGUUUUGUCUUUUUGAUUUUUAUUUUUUGUUUUUGUUUUUUAAAAAGUGGAUCAAAGUGAGAAAGAUAUUUUAUUAGUGUUAGGUGAAAUGAUUUGAGAGAGAAGGAAGAAGAAGGGACACGUGGGUGUGGGGGCACAAGAGGUGAUGGGUAGUUGUUGGUGGGUCACUGACGGCAUGAUUCCGUGUAGAUCUGAGAGACACGUUUCUAAUUGGUAAGAGUAAGAGAGUGCUUAACCCUACAUACUUAACCCUUUGCUUUAAUUAAUGACGAUGUUGGUUUUAG